AGAUCCCACAGCCAUCCAUUGCUUUAAGAGAGGAAGCUUACAGCCUAAUUAUGAGUCAGCACAGAAUAUAUAAGGCCAUCUGUGUACUAAAAAAUCUCUAGACUUGGAAAGAAGAUCUGAUCUAUUCAGUUUUUUCACUAAGUAGUUACAGAUACUACCAGAGUAUUCUAACCAAUCCACAUGAGAACCUUAAGCAGCCACAUUGCCAUGUCCUGUGGAACAGGAGAUAAUACUGUGAACUGGGAAAGAUGCUGAGAUAAAAUCUCCUUUGACCUCUUGGUAAG
This is a long non-coding RNA of Prinia subflava (tawny-flanked prinia), 284 nucleotides long. RefSeq lists it as uncharacterized. The record is from RefSeq and is a predicted model, not a curated record. NCBI's taxonomy places the organism in Eukaryota, Metazoa, Chordata, Aves, Passeriformes, Cisticolidae. The transcript has 3 exons.